This 301-nucleotide ribosomal RNA is filed under the name uncultured bacterium. Its description in RNAcentral is "partial 16S ribosomal RNA". It matches the Rfam family "Bacterial small subunit ribosomal RNA", at positions 509 to 807 of the family's 1533-position model. The record is from RNAcentral.
CAGUAGCCGCGGGAAUACGAAGGGUGCAAGCGUCACUCGGAAUUACUGGGCGUAAAGCGUGCGUAGGUGGUGGUUUAAGUCCGUUGUGAAAGCCCUGGGCUCAACCUGGGAAUUGCAGUGGAUACUGGGUCACUAGAGUGUGGUAGAGGAUAGUGGAAUUUCCGGUGUAGCAGUGAAAUGCGUAGAGAUCGGAAGGAACAUCUGUGGCGAAGGCGACUAUCUGGGCCAACACUGACACUGAGGCACGAAAGCGUGGGGAGCAAACAGGAUUAGAUACCCCAGUAGUCCCUGUCUCUUAUAC